RNAcentral lists this ribosomal RNA (1191 nucleotides) under Triticum aestivum (bread wheat). Its description in RNAcentral is "partial small subunit ribosomal RNA". The record is from RNAcentral. Lineage: Eukaryota; Viridiplantae; Streptophyta; Magnoliopsida; Poales; Poaceae.
AUGGACUCGGAUGACGAGGAAGUGCUCGCCGCGCUGCUGGAGGAGGAAGCCGAGGCCGACGUCCAGGAAGAAGAGCAUCUCAUGGUGCUCGCCACCCUCGCCCAGCUGCUGGCGAGCAAUGAAAAGCCGUGGCGAGGUGGCUCGGCGCCGGGGCGGGUGAAAGCAAAGAACCGGCAUCGUCUCGAAGGCUACUGCAUGCUCUACUCCGACUACUUCGCCGAUGCUCCACUUCACGGCGGCAGAACAUUUCGGCGCCGUUAUCGGAUGAGCAGAAAGCUUUUCCUCAGGAUUGUGAAUUCCAUCCGGGAGUUCGACAACUACUUCAAAUGCAAGAUGGAUUGCACCGGCAAACUUGGAUUCACCUCCAUCCAGAAAUGCACGACAACGAUGAGGAUGCUUGCAUACGGAGCUCCCGAUGACUCACAGGACGACUAUGGGCGGAUGGCCGAGUCCACCAGCAUAGAGUGUUUCUACAAGUUCUGUCGGGCAGUUGUGGCAGUGUUUGGACCGCAAUACUUGAGAACACCCAAUGCGGAAGACACUGCUCGGAUCCUAGCACAGAAUGCAGCAAGAGGAUUUCUUGGGAUGCUUGGAAGCAUCGACUGCAUGCAUUGGAAAUGGAAGAAUUGCCCAUUUGCUUGGCAGGGGAUGUACAAAGACGCCAAAGGCGGUUGCAGUGUGGUACUUGAGGCGGUGUCCACACAGGACCUCUGGAUUUGGCACUCCUUUGGUAUGCCAGGAACUCACAAUGACAUCAACGUGCUGCAGUGCUCUCCUGUCUUUGCCAAGCUUGUUGAAGGUCAUUCUCCUCCGGUGAACUUCGAGAUCAAUGGGCAGCACUACAACAAGGGGUACUAUCUAGCUGAUGGCAUCUAUCCGAGAUGGUCGACAUUUGUGAAGACCAUCAAAAACCCUGUGCCUGGAGGCAAGAACGCCUGGUUUGCGAAGAUUCAGGAGGCUUGCAAGAAGGAUGUCGAGCGGGCAUUUGGUGUGCUCCAAUCUCGAUUUGCUGUUGUCCGGUACCCCGCUCAGACCUGGUCGAAAGAUCAAAUGUGGGAGAUCAUGACCUGCUGUGUCAUCUUGCACAACAUGAUCAUUGAGAGUGAGCAGGAAGAGCCAGUGUUUGACACUGAACCAUACCACAGGCAGGCUCCUCUUGCCCAAGUUGAUCACCAGCUACCGGCAACCUAG